Molecule: RNA transcript, 1799 nt
Organism: Tarenaya hassleriana
Lineage: Eukaryota; Viridiplantae; Streptophyta; Magnoliopsida; Brassicales; Cleomaceae
Gene name: histone-lysine N-methyltransferase ATXR6
Exons: 6
Source: RefSeq, a predicted model, not a curated record
UUGGCCGAUAUACACCUUUGCAUUUGUACUCUAAGUCUAUCUCUGCUCGGAGCUUCUGAUCAGCAGAAAAAUCCGACAAUGGUGGUGCUUCGCCGAAGAGGAACCCAGGCGCCAAACCCUAGGGCCGAUCCUCCACCGUAUGCAGCGGCAGAUUCUGGUGACUCCGAAUCCAAUUCCGAUUCGGGUUCGGAUUCGGACACAGUCUGCGAGGAGUGCGGAUCCGAAGAACUACCUGCGAAGCUGCGUCUCUGCGACAAAUGCGAUAGAGGUUUUCAUCUCUUCUGCCUCAGUCAAAUCCUGGUUUCUGUUCCUAAAGGCCCCUGGUUCUGCCUUCCUGCUCUAAGCACAGGUUGAGGUUCUCCCCAAAUGUAAUGCGUCUCCUUUUUAUUUGCUUAAUCUGAUUUUCUGAAAAAAAUUAUCGCCUUUUUUUUAUAAUUAUGCAAUUUGUGAGCUUAGGAUUCGAUUCUUACAGAUUCCGUUUCUGGGUUUUUGAGAAUGUUCUGAAUUUGAUUAGAAUUUGGAAUUUCUUGGGUUUAGGGUUUACUGUGAAUUGCGAAAAUACUGGUUUGGAUUUGAAGUAAUGGUGCCUUGGAAAACUUCACUGUGAUUCUAUUAGUUGCAAUCAUUUCCAAAUGGUCGCUCAUUGUCUUGAAGAACUCCCUAACCAUUGCUUUCCCUCUUGUUCAGACAAAGAUUAUAGACUUCUUCCGGAUCAAACUGUCAUUUGACUCAUCUCAGAUCUCGGAUUCAGUAUCAGGAAGAAGAGGAGGAAGGGCAGCGAUUGUCCCGAUCAGAAGCGAAAAAUUAACGCAAGGAAACCAAGUGAAAGUGGAGAUCAAACCCUGUACAAGUGGAAGACUGGGUCAUUCCAGUUUCAUUCGAGGUGGUGGUGGUCUAUGGGUUUAAUCAGCAUAUCUUGGGAUUGGUUUCUUGACCCCAACCGGCCUACAGGUGCCUAUAACCGGAUGAGAUGCGUCAAGCAGUUUGGUGGCGAUGAAGACGUAGAAGAGAAAGCUUCUUCCGUUCAGCCCAAGCAAAGGUCUUCAGAGGAGACUCGAGCAAAUGACGACUCUUUGCCACUUCCUUGAAAACCUCAGACACAGAGUUCAGCAAUGAGCUCUCAACUAUCAGCCCAGCAUGGCUCCAAGAUCUGCAAACCAAGCUGAUCUUGAGAAAGGCGGCGUGCAGAGAAGACACGGAGACCUUGAACCUGUGCAAGAAGAUGAUGGGCCGAGGGGAAUGUCCACUUCUUGUCUUUGAUCCUCGCGAAGGGGGAAGGUCGGAAGAAGCAGAGUCUGAAAUGCGUGAACGGGGGAGGAGCUAGGGUUCUUCUCGUAGCGAAUAGAGAUAUACCGAAGGGAGAAACGAUGGUGUUGUGAUUACUCCUCCAUGUUUGAUUGUCCAGCAAGUUACAGCAAAUGUCAAACUGAAAACUCUGCAGCAAACCCACAUUGGAUCACUCAAUGUCUGAUUCAAUUUCUUGGUUUUUAAUUUUGGAUCAGAAAGGACAAAAGUUGGAUGGAUGCUUACUGCUGUGAUCCACUAUCAAUGUUGGUCAGAAACAAGGCAGGACCACAAAACAUAAGACAUAAGAGAGAGGGGGAGGAGCAUAGUAUGGUCCAAACCCUAAGGGCUGAGCAUUCAACACAGUAGCUGGAAGACCCCUCCCCUCAUCUGAUUUGAAUGUCCCACUCUCACCAGACCUAUCUUUUUCUUUUUUGGUUCUUUUUCAUUUCAAGUAAAUAUCUUGAAUGAUUGAUUAACUGUUUUAAGUUGAUCCAUUGAAUUAAUUUGGUUAA